RNAcentral lists this unclassified non-coding RNA (305 nucleotides) under plant metagenome. RNAcentral's name for it is "partial contains 5.8S ribosomal RNA, internal transcribed spacer 2, and large subunit ribosomal RNA". The stretch from base 1 to 105 matches the Rfam family "5.8S ribosomal RNA", at positions 50 to 154 of the family's 154-position model. The record is from RNAcentral.
GAAAUGCGAUAAGUAAUGUGAAUUGCAGAAUUCAGUGAAUCAUCGAAUCUUUGAACGCACAUUGCGCCCGCCAGUAUUCUGGCGGGCAUGCCUGUUCGAGCGUCAUUUCAACCAUCAAGCCCCCGGCUUGUGUUGGGGACCUGCGGCUGCCCGCAGGCCCUGAAAAACAGUGGCGGGCUCGCUGUCACACCGAGCGUAGUAGCAUACAUUCUCGCUCAGGGCGUGCUGCGGGUUCCGGCCGUUAAACGACCUUCAUAACCCAAGGUUGACCUCGGCUCAGGUAGGACGACCCGCUGAACUUAAGC